UACGUAGGGGGCGAGCGUUGUCCGGAGUUACUGGGCGUAAAGCGCACGCAGGCGGUCUGCUAAGUUUGGAGGGACAGUUGGUGGCUUAACUGCCAAAGUGCUUCGAAAACUGACAGACUUGAGGGCUUCAGAGGGACACGGAAUUCCGGGUGGAGUGGUGAAAUGCGUAGAGAUCCGGAGGAACACCAAAGGCGAAGGCAGUGUCCUGGGGAGUACCUGACGCUCAGGUGCGAAAGCCAGGGGAGCAAACGGG
RNAcentral lists this ribosomal RNA (253 nucleotides) under uncultured bacterium. Its description in RNAcentral is "partial 16S ribosomal RNA". It matches the Rfam family "Bacterial small subunit ribosomal RNA", at positions 524 to 776 of the family's 1533-position model. The record is from RNAcentral.